Molecule: ribosomal RNA, 298 nt
Filed under: Triparma pacifica
Lineage: Eukaryota; Bolidophyceae; Parmales; Triparmaceae
Description: partial Bacterial large subunit ribosomal RNA
Rfam family: Bacterial large subunit ribosomal RNA
Source: RNAcentral
CGACCUGCACGAAUGGCGUAACGACUUCCCCGCUGUCUCCAACGUUGACUCAGCGAAAUUGAAUUCUCCGUGAAGAUGCGGAGUUCCCGCGGUCAGACGGAAAGACCCCGUGCACCUUUACUACAACUUUGCAGUGGUAUUAGAAAAUGAAUGUGUAGGAUAGGCGGGAGGCUUUGAAGCACUGGCGCCAGCCAGGGUGGAGCCACCCUUGAAAUACCGCCCUUUUGUUUUUUGAUAUCUAACCGCGAUCCGUUAUCCGGAUCCGGGACCCUGCAUGGUGGGUAGUUUGACUGGGGCG